AUGGCUCUGCUCCCCCAGCCGGAGCCCCGCAACACUGCUCCCCCAGCCGGAGCCCCGCAACCCCACAGUCCCGCUUCCCCAGCAGAGUGUGGCAAGUCCCGUGGCCCAGCUACUGAGGCCGGAGCCCGGCAGCCCCGCUCUCCUCACCGCAGCCCAGCUCUCGAGGCCGGAGCCCCGCAAACCCGUGGCCGCGCUCCCCCGGCCGAGUGCUGCAACUCCCACUGUCCUUCUACCCCGGCCAGAGCCCUGCCACCCCGCUCUUUUGGCCAGAGCUCCGUCACCCCGCGGUACCACUCCCCUGGCCGGAACUCUGCAACCCCACCGUCCUGCUCCCUCUGCCGGAGCCCAGGGACCCACGGCCCCUCUAUCCUGGCCGGAGCCCCGCAAGUCCCGCGGCCCCUCUAUCCCAGCCGGAGCCCUGCAACACUGCAGCACCGCUCCCCUGAGCGGAGCCCUGCAACCCCGCAGUCCCUCCAACCCAGCCGGAUCCCAGGGACCCCGGCUGGAGUGCAGCAACUCCCGCUGCCCGCCACCCAGGCCGGAGCCCCAAAGCCCCGCUCUCAAGGCCAGAGGCCCACAACCCUGCCGUCCCGCUCUCCCGGUCGGAGGGCCGCAGUCCCGCACACCUGCGGUCCCACUUUCCCGGCCAAAGGCCUGCAAACCUGCGGUGCUGCUACCCCAGCUGGAGCCCCACAACUCCCGCAGUCCCGGCCCGCCCGGAGCCCCGCAACUCCUGCGGUCCCCGGCCCGGAGCCCCGCAACUCCUGCGGUCCCCGGCCCGAGCCCCGCAACUCCUGCGGUCCCCGGCCCGGAGCCCCACAACUCCUGCGGUCCCUGGCCCGGAGCCCCGCAUCUCCAGCAGUCCCCGGCCCGGAGCCCCGCAACUCCUGCAGUCCCCGGCCCGAGCUCAAGCCCCACAACUCCUGCGGUCCCAUCUUGAGCCCCGGAACUCCUGCGGUCCCCGGCCCGAGCUCAAGCCCCGCAACUCCUGCGGUCCCGGCCAGGAGCCCUGGCCCGAGCCCCGCACCUCCUGCGGUCCCGUCCCGGAGCCCCGCAACUCCUGCGGUCCCGUCCCGAGCCCCGCAACUCCUGCGGUCCCCGGCCGGGAGCCCCGCAACUCCUGCGGUCCCCGGCCGGGAGCCCCGCAACUCCUGCGGUCCCCGGCCGGGAGCCCCGCAACUCCUGCGGUCCCCGGCCGGGAGCCCCGCAACUCCUGCGGUCCCCGGCCGGGAGCCCCGCAACUCCUGCGGUCCCCGGCCUGAGCUCAAGCCCCGCAACUCCUGUGGCCCCAGCCAGGAGCCCUGCAACUCCUGCAGUCCAGGUCUGAGCCCUGGCACCAGACCCGCAAACCAGCAGUCCCGUCUCGGAGCCCCGCAACUACUGCAGUCCCCGGCCCGAGCUCAAGCCCCAUAACUCCUGCGGUCCCGUCCCGGAGCCCCGCAACUCCUGCGGUCCCCGCCUGAGCUCAAGCCCCACAACUCCUGCGGUCCCGUCCCGAGCCCCGCAACUCCUGCGGUCCCCGGCCCGAGCUCAAGCCCCGCAACUCCUGCGGUCCCCGGCCUGAGCUCAAGCCCCACAACUCCAGCGGUCCCCGGCCCGGAGCCCCGCAUCUCCAGCGGUCCCCGGCCCGGAGCCCCGCAACUCCUGCGGUCCCCGCCUGAGCUCAAGCCCCACAACUCCUGCGGUCCCGUCCCGAGCCCCGCAACUCCUGCGGUCCCUGGCCCGAGCUCAAGCCCCGCAACUCCUGCGGUCCCUGGCCUGGAGCCCCGCAACUCCUGCGGUCCCCGGCCUGAGCUCAAGCCCCGCAUCUCCAGCGGUCCCCAGCCCGGAGCCCCGCAACUCCUGCAGUCCCCGGCCCGGAGUCCCGUAUUCCUGCAGUCCCCGGCCCGAGCUCAAGCCCCGCAACUCCUGCGGUCCCGGCCAGGAGCCCUGGCCCGAGCCCCACAAAUCCUGCGGUCCCCGGCCCGGAGCCCCGCAACUCCUGCAGUCCCUGCCUGAGCUCAAGCCCCGCAACUCCUGCAGUCCCGGCCAGGAGCCCUGGCCCCGCAACUCCUGCGGUCCUGGCCCGGAGCCCU
Gopherus evgoodei (Goodes thornscrub tortoise) is the source of this 2075-nucleotide long non-coding RNA. NCBI's taxonomy places the organism in Eukaryota, Metazoa, Chordata, Testudines, Testudinidae. The record is from Ensembl.